UGGGGAAUAUUGCACAAUGGGCGCAAGCCUGAUGCAGCCAUGCCGCGUGUAUGAAGAAGGCCUUCGGGUUGUAAAGUACUUUCAGCGGGGAGGAAGGCGAUAAGGUUAAUAACCUUGUCGAUUGACGUUACCCGCAGAAGAAGCACCGGCUAACUCCGUGCCAGCAGCCGCGGUAAUACGGAGGGUGCAAGCGUUAAUCGGAAUUACUGGGCGUAAAGCGCACGCAGGCGGUCUGUCAAGUCGGAUGUGAAAUCCCCGGGCUCAACCUGGGAACUGCAUUCGAAACUGGCAGGCUAGAGUCUUGUAGAGGGGGGUAGAAUUCCAGGUGUAGCGGUGAAAUUCGUAGAGAUCUGGAGGAAUACCGGUGGCGAAGGCGGCCCCCUGGACAAAGACUGACGCUCAGGUGCGAAAGCGUGGGGAGCAAACA
This 427-nucleotide ribosomal RNA is filed under the name uncultured bacterium. RNAcentral's name for it is "partial 16S ribosomal RNA". It matches the Rfam family "Bacterial small subunit ribosomal RNA", at positions 355 to 774 of the family's 1533-position model. The record is from RNAcentral.